UACGUAGGGGGCAAGCGUUGUCCGGAAUCAUUGGGCGUAAAGCGCGUGUAGGCGGUUCGGUAAGUCUGCUGUGAAAGUCCAGGGCUCAACCCUGGGAUGCCGGUGGAUACUGUCGGACUAAAGUACGGAAGAGGCGAGUGGAAUUCCCGGUGUAGCGGUGAAAUGCGUAGAUAUCUGGAGGAACACCGGUGGCGAAGGCGGCAUUCUGGACCGAUAUUGACGCUGAGGAGCGAAAGCCAGGGGAGCAAACGGG
This 253-nucleotide ribosomal RNA is filed under the name uncultured bacterium. Its description in RNAcentral is "partial 16S ribosomal RNA". It matches the Rfam family "Bacterial small subunit ribosomal RNA", at positions 524 to 776 of the family's 1533-position model. The record is from RNAcentral.